Felis catus (domestic cat) is the source of this 1318-nucleotide long non-coding RNA. RefSeq lists it as uncharacterized. The transcript is spliced from 3 exons. Lineage: Eukaryota; Metazoa; Chordata; Mammalia; Carnivora; Felidae. The record is from RefSeq and is a predicted model, not a curated record.
GCUUUACUCUUAGCACUUAGUACUACUUGGCAUAAUGUGUGUGUGUGUAUGUGUGUGUGUGUGUGUGUAUUAUCAGACUUUUCUUACUAGAAUGUCUAUUUGACAAAAGAAGUCUGUUUACUACUGUAUUAGUGACACAGUAGCCUGUUGAUAAAUAUUUGUCCAGUGACUGCCUGACCAGCUGAAGAAUUUACAUACUUCUUCUCAGAGGCGUUGGUAGUUGGCCACUGGUACUCCAUAUUCUGAAACUGUGAAACAGUCUUAGUCCGAGUUCCUUCCAACGCAGAAUCUCAGACAAAGACCGUGUAUAGGUAACCUACUUGGAAUGAGAUGUUGGGGGCAAGAGUGAGGGAUGGGGGGGCUAAGUGGUGAAGGAGAGAAAGCCAUUGUAAGGGUGAUUUAACCACUGUUGCCAGCAUCUCAUGGUAUGGUCCCACAGAACCUUCUGAGUAAGGUCCCUCUCCAACUGGUUCCGGGCGGUCUCCUGGGGUGUUAACUCUCCUGGACUUCUAGGUUGUUUACGUUCGAGUGCCAAGUGAGUGCCAAGCGGGAAACUAAGAGUUCUGCACGAUGGCAUCAGACACGGUCUGAGGUGGAAAGCCAGAAGCGCACGGCACGGGCCAAAGUGGGGUGCUGUCACGUUACGCACGCACAGACUUGGUUGAAGCCCGGAACUCAUUGCUGCAGCGGUGGAUGGAAUAAGAGAGCUUCAGACUGCAUUGCAAUGAUUUGCCUCCUUUUGCAAGAGCAAGAAACCAGCCCAUGUUAGCAGUCAACAAGUGUUUGUUCCUUACUGGACGGGAACUAUGCUGGCGUCCUUCAAACGAACUGUCUUAUGUGAUCUUUGCAACAACCCUUUUAUUCUCAUUGCGUGUUUGAGAACCUCAGGCUAAGAGAGCAUGCGAUACACGUGAGAAUGUCUUCAAAACCUGACACGUAAUCUACACAUAGCACAUCUUAAUUGGGAUCUUAAACUUGCAUCAGGAGUGCUUGGUGUGUAUUUAGAUUUUGCAGGAUCUGCCAUUGAAAAAAGUAAGUUCACACGUGCGGGUAAGUUUAAUCCGUACUUAAAAGUGUUUCCAGUAAUAGAAGCGGUUCCUAAAAAGUCAUUUUCCUUUAAUAUUUGCAUCCAUUUGACAAAUUGGCUUAUUGUUUUUAGAACUGAUCUGACAUAGUUUUAAAACUGAGUUGAGUGAAUUCACCAACUCUUGUGUCAACUCAGUAUUACUGCCAUCAAAUUCGAAGUGGUAUUGUGUAAAAUGAAAAGCCCCUUUAAAUUUAUUAAAAUUAACAUAGCAUUAUUCAUGUUUUUCUUUUA